AUGUCUGUGGUAUAUUACUCGAGAGAGUAGCAAUCACAUAUGGUAAUUACAUAUGAUUGAAACCUCUGUGAGUAGCAUGACACAUGACAU
Molecule: microRNA precursor, 90 nt
Organism: Callithrix jacchus (white-tufted-ear marmoset)
Lineage: Eukaryota; Metazoa; Chordata; Mammalia; Primates; Cebidae
Source: Ensembl